This is a long non-coding RNA of Girardinichthys multiradiatus, 296 nucleotides long. RefSeq lists it as uncharacterized. The transcript has 3 exons. The record is from RefSeq and is a predicted model, not a curated record. NCBI's taxonomy places the organism in Eukaryota, Metazoa, Chordata, Actinopteri, Cyprinodontiformes, Goodeidae.
GUAGGUUUUACAGGAAGAGCAGACUGUGCAGCUAAGUCAUGAUGACUGCCAUGGCUCAAGAUCAUUGCCCUGGUGGAAGUAGAACCUCCGCUCCAGACCUCCUUACAUGUCUCUGCUGAAGAAAAACAUCCCCACAGCCUGAUGCUGCCACCAUCAUGCUUCAUUAGGGUAUCCGUCUGUCUCCAGCCACCAGAAUCACAUCACACAGCUGCCUGGUCUUCAGGUAGCCCUCCAUCUUGCGGAAGGUGACAUCAGCAUGAGACAAUGCAGUAAACAUGGACUCCUCCGGACAGGCG